RNAcentral lists this ribosomal RNA (375 nucleotides) under Frankia sp. PtI6. RNAcentral describes it as "bacterial SSU rRNA". It matches the Rfam family "Bacterial small subunit ribosomal RNA", at positions 28 to 416 of the family's 1533-position model. The record is from RNAcentral. Lineage: Bacteria; Bacillati; Actinomycetota; Actinomycetes; Frankiales; Frankiaceae.
GACGAACGCUGGCGGCGUGCUUAACACAUGCAAGUCGAGCGGACCUUCGGGUCAGCGGCGAACGGGUUAGUAACACGUGGGCAACCUGCCCCAGGCUCUGGAAUAACUCCGGGAAACCGGGGCUAAUGCCGGAUAUUCACAUCUUCGGGCAUCUGGUGGUGUGUAAAGAUUUAUCGGUCUGGGAUGGGCCCGCGGCCUAUCAGCUUGUUGGUGGGGUGACGGCCUACCAAGGCGACGACGGGUAGCCGGCCUGAGAGGGCGAUCGGCCACACUGGGACUGAGACACGGCCCAGACUCCUACGGGAGGCAGCAGUGGGGAAUAUUGCGCAAUGGGCGAAAGCCUGACGCAGCGACGCCGCGUGAGGGAUGACGGCC